AUGGGAAGAAUAUGGUGGCUGGUUUUCCUUUUCACAUGGUAUCGGGUCGUUGAGUUUCUCUCUUCUCCCUCCCCUCUUUUUUUAGACAAGAGCUUGCUGAUGAUACAAGUGGCUCCUACGUGCUGUCGUUACAUAAACACUCGACCGUGCAGAGCAAGCACAAGUCCCCGGGACACGGCAUUUCCAUCCCAGACCUCAGCACCCCCACCCUCCUGUGUCGUGUGUGUGUAUCCCAGACUCAGCACCCUCACCCUCCUGUGUCGUGUGUACAUGUGUGUGCAUGUAUGUGUGUGGGUCCCAGAUCUCAUCACCCUCCUACGUCGAGUAUGUGUGUGUGCGUGUCCCAGACCCCAUCACCCUCCUGUCAUGUGUGUGCGUGUGUGUGUAUCCCAGACCUCAGAACCCUCACCCUCCUGUGUUGUAUGUGUCAUGUGUGUGUGUCCCAGACCCCACCACUUUCCUGUGUCGAGUGUGUGUGUGUCCCAGACCCCACCACUUUCCUGUGUCGAGUGUGUGUGUGUCCCAGACCCCACCACUCUCCUGUAUGUCAUGUGUGCGUGUAUCCCAGACCCCACCACUCUCCUGUAUGUGUCAUGUGUGUGUGUCCCAGACCCCACCACUCUCCUGUGUCUAGUGUGUGUGUGUCCCAGACCCCACCAUUCUCCUGUGUCGAGUGUGUGUGUAUCCCAGACCCCACCACUCUCCUGUGUCAUGUGUGUGUGUCCCAGACCCCACCACUCUCCUGUAUGUGUCAUGUGUGCAUAUGUGUGUGUGUGUCCCAGACCCCACCACUCUCCUGUAUGUGUCAUGUGUGUGUGUCCCAGACCCCACCACUCUCCUGUAUGUGUCAUGUGUGUGUGUCCCAGACCCCACCACUCUCCUGUAUGUGUCAUGUGUGUGUGUCCCAGACCCCACCACUCUCCUGUGUCGAGUGUGUGUGUGUGUGGCGUUCAUAUACAGAUAUAUACAAAUCUGCCUAUUCAGAGGCACUAUGUAGUAUUGAGGGGGGGGUGA
Molecule: long non-coding RNA, 1014 nt
Filed under: Oryctolagus cuniculus (rabbit)
Lineage: Eukaryota; Metazoa; Chordata; Mammalia; Lagomorpha; Leporidae
Description: lncRNA (ENSOCUG00000033543.1)
Source: RNAcentral